Long non-coding RNA from Leucoraja erinaceus (little skate), 2395 nucleotides. RefSeq lists it as uncharacterized. NCBI's taxonomy places the organism in Eukaryota, Metazoa, Chordata, Chondrichthyes, Rajiformes, Rajidae. The record is from RefSeq and is a predicted model, not a curated record. The transcript has 3 exons.
CGCGCGACACCCCAGCGCCGGCCGAGGAACAACGACCCCCCCCCCGACUUCAAGAGAACCUUUACAAGUUACCCUUAUAAUAGAAGAUUAGAGACACAAAAUGCUGGAGUAACUCAGCGGGAUCGGCAGCAUCUCUGGAGAAAAAUGAAUAGACUUGUAAAUAACUAGUGGAGUGCCCCAAGGAUCAAUUUCCACACCUCAACUAUUGACCAUUGAAAUGACUUGGGAGGACGGGACAUUGAGUGAGCACCAGAGGACCAAACCCUCGACCACUGCUGCACGACUAUCAAGGAUGCCUAUCGCUCUAUCCCUAACCAGAAGCCUUGGAUGAGCCAUGAGAUCCGCAUUCUUCUGAAGACCAGAUCCCGGGCAUUCAGGUCUGGCAAUGCAGAGGUCUACAAGAAGUUCAGAUACGGCCUUGGUAAGGCCAUCAAAAAGGUCAAAAGGAACUCUGCUCUAAGCUGGAGGAUGAGACGGAUGUUCGGCAACUGUGGCGGGGCUUGAAUGCCAUCACCUCCUACAAGGCAAAAUCAGGAGGCAGCUCACACGACAGCGAAGCAUCACUCCCUGACGAGCUCAACGCGUUAUACACAUGCAUUGAUAGGGAAAAUACUGAUGUGCCUUCCCGAGCCCCCAUUCACCGUGAUGGUAUUUCAGUCACAGAGGCUGACGUCAGAAGAUCCUUCAGAGGGAUGAACCCUCGGAAAGCGCCUGGACCUGAUGGUAUACCCAGUCGUGUUCUCAAAACCUGUGCAGACUAACUGGCUGGAGUUUUUGCGGACAUUUUCAACCUCUGAGGUCUAAGAUUCCCACCUGCUUUAGAAGGGCAUCAAUAAUACCGGUCCCCAAGAAGAGCAAGGUGACGUGCCUCAAUGACUAUCGACCAGUGGCACUAACGUCUGUGAUGAUGAAGUGCUUUGAGAGGUUGAUUAUGGCGCAAAUCAACUCCUACCUCGACCUCAACAAGAACCUCGACCCACUGCAGUUUGCUUACCGCCACAACAGGUCAACGGUGGAUAUCCGAUCUCACUGGCUCUCCACUCCGCUCUGGACCACUUGGACAACAAAAAAUCGUACGUCAGGCUGAUCAUAGACUACAGCUCGCCGUUUAAUACAUCAUCCCCUCCAAGAUGGUUACCAAGCUCACAGAUUUGGGUCUCUGCGCAUCCCUCUGCAAUUGGAUUCUCGACUUCCUCAUCCACAGACCACAGUGUGUCCGUAUUGGUGGAAAUAUGUCAUCCUCGAUAACAAUCAACAUGGGAGCACCUCAAGGCUGCGUGCUCAGCCCCCUGCUGUACUCUAUACUCAUGACUGUGUAGCUGGACAUAGUGCGUAUCCAUCAUCAAGUUCGCUGGCGACACCACUGUUAUGGGACAAAUCACAGAUGGUGAUGUGUCAGAAGUGAGAUCGACCGAUUGACCAAAUGGUGCCAGCACAACAACCUGGCUCUCAACACCAGUAAAACCAAGGAACUAAUUGUGGACUUUGGAAGGGGAAGGAUGGGGGCACACAAUCCUGUUUAUAUUAACAGGACGAUAGUGGAAAGGGUCAAAAACUUCAAAUUCCUGGUCCCAACACACUGGUGCAAUUAUAAAGAAGGCACAUCAGAGCCUCUACUUCCUGAGAAGAUUACGGAAAGUUGGUAUGUCUAGGAUUCUCUCGAACUUCUACUGGUGCACAGUAGAGAGCAUGCUGACUGGCUGCAUCCUGGCCUGGUUUGACAAUUUGAACGUCCAGGAGCGGAAAAUACUGCAGAAUGUUGUGACCACUGCCCAGUCCAUCACCGGCUCUGAACUCCCCACCAUCGAAGGGAUCUAUCGCAGUCGUUGCCUCAAAAGGGCUGCCAACAUCAUCAAAGACCCACACCAUCCUGGCCACACACUCAUCUCACCGUUGCCAUCGGGAAGAAGGUACAGGAGCCUGAAAUCUAACAUCCAUGUUCAGGAGCAGCUUCUUCCCCACAGCCAUCAGGAUAUUAAACAAUAUCAAAGAAGCUCUGAACAAUAACAGUCUAUUAUUAUUAUUAUUAUUGCACUAUAUCUGUUUAUUUAUUGUGUAUAUCUGGUCUAUAGACACACUGUACUUUAUCUCCCGUUUUGGAUUAUGUUUACAUAUUCUGUUGUGCUGCAGCAAGAAUUGCAUUGUCCUAUCUGGAACACAUGACAAUAAAACUCUCUUGACACUUGAGGUAGCCAAUUAUUUUUGGUUAUUUAGAACUGGCACUGAAGAGUUGAGACCUGGGGCUUAUUAGCCAUGAUAUUCAAUGGUGAUGCAUGCCACCUUUUCUUUUUUUUUUAAUAUUUAUUUUAUUAGAAGCAAUUGUACAAAGAGAAAGUAAUUGACAUAACAAUUAUACAAUUAUCGUGCAGCUUCAGUUUUAACAUUUUAUAAACUA